RNAcentral lists this ribosomal RNA (281 nucleotides) under Anopheles funestus (African malaria mosquito). Its description in RNAcentral is "eukaryotic large subunit ribosomal RNA". It matches the Rfam family "Eukaryotic large subunit ribosomal RNA", at positions 105 to 358 of the family's 3401-position model. The record is from RNAcentral. Lineage: Eukaryota; Metazoa; Arthropoda; Insecta; Diptera; Culicidae.
AAGCUCAGCACGUAGGGACGGUGUGUAACUGCACCUGUCCGAUUCCGUGUACUGGAACGACCAUUAUCUACUAUGCACGGUGCAAACAGUUCAAGUUCAACUUGAAGGUGCUCAUCUACCCAGAGAGGGUGAUAGGCCCGUAGAACGGCACUAACCCACGUGACAGUAGACGGUCGGCUCCAUGGAGUCGUGUUGCUUGAUAGUGCAGCACUAAGUGGGAGGUAAACUCCUUCUAAAGCUAAAUACCACCAUGAGACCGAUAGAAGACAAGUACCGUGAGG